This 45-nucleotide non-coding RNA is filed under the name Schistosoma curassoni. The record is from RNAcentral. Lineage: Eukaryota; Metazoa; Platyhelminthes; Trematoda; Strigeidida; Schistosomatidae.
UUCCAGCUGAUAGGUCCCAAAUAAAACGAAACGCGCGUCCCGGAU